This 622-nucleotide ribosomal RNA is filed under the name uncultured Ehrlichia sp. RNAcentral's name for it is "bacterial SSU rRNA". It matches the Rfam family "Bacterial small subunit ribosomal RNA", at positions 814 to 1435 of the family's 1533-position model. Lineage: Bacteria; Pseudomonadati; Pseudomonadota; Alphaproteobacteria; Rickettsiales; Anaplasmataceae. The record is from RNAcentral.
UGCUGAAUGUGGGGAUAAUUUAUCUUUGUAUUGUAGCUAACGCGUUAAGCACUCCGCCUGGGGACUACGGUCGCAAGACUAAAACUCAAAGGAAUUGACGGGGACCCGCACAAGCGGUGGAGCAUGUGGUUUAAUUCGAUGCUACGCGAAAAACCUUACCACUUUUUGACAUGAAGGUCGUAUCCCUCCUAACAGGGGGAGUCAGUUCGGCUGGACCUUACACAGGUGCUGCAUGGUUGUCGUCAGCUCGUGUCGUGAGAUGUUGGGUUAAGUCCCGCAACGAGCGCAACCCUCAUUCUUAGUUACCAACAGGUAAUGCUGGGCACUCUAAGGAAACUGCCAGUGAUAAACUGGAGGAAGGUGGGGAUGAUGUCAAAUCAGCACGGCCCUUAUAAGGUGGGCUACACACGUGCUACAAUGGCAACUACAAUAGGUUGCGAGACCGCAAGGUUUAGCUAAUCCAUAAAAGUUGUCUCAGUUCGGAUUGUUCUCUGCAACUCGAGAGCAUGAAGUCGGAAUCGCUAGUAAUCGUGGAUCAUCACGCCACGGUGAAUACGUUCUCGGGUCUUGUACACACUGCCCGUCACGCCAUGGGAAUUGGCUUAACUCGAAGCUGGUGUGC